RNAcentral lists this ribosomal RNA (253 nucleotides) under uncultured bacterium. RNAcentral's name for it is "partial 16S ribosomal RNA". It matches the Rfam family "Bacterial small subunit ribosomal RNA", at positions 524 to 776 of the family's 1533-position model. The record is from RNAcentral.
GACGGAGGGUGCUAGCGUUGUUCGGAAUUACUGGGCGUAAAGCGCGUGUAGGUGGAUUGGUGUGUCAGAUGUGAAAUCCCUGGGCUCAACCCAGGAACUGCACCUGAAACUACCAGUCUUGAGUGGUGGAGAGGGAAGUGGAAUUCCUGGUGUAGAGGUGAAAUUCGUAGAUAUCAGGAGGAACACCAGUGGCGAAGGCGGCUUCCUGGACACCAACUGACGCUGAGACGCGAAAGCGUGGGGAGCAAACAGG